UUAGAGUUUGAUCCUGGCUCAGGAUGAACGCUAGCGGCAGGCUUAACACAUGCAAGUCGAGGGGCAGCAUGUCCAGCAAUGGAUGAUGGCGACCGGCGGAAGGGUGCGUAACGCGUGAGCAACAUGCCCUAUACAGGGAGAUACACCAGGGAAACUUGGUCUAAUAUCCCAUAGCAUUCAUUGAAGGCAUCUUUAAUGAAUUAAAGCUUCGGUGGUAUAGGAUUGGCUCGCGUGACAUUAGCCAGAUGGUGAGGUAACGGCUCACCAUAGCAAUGAUGUCUAGGGGUUUUGAGAGGAACGCCCCCCACACUGGGACUGAGACACGGCCCAGACUCCUACGGGAGGCAGCAGUGAGGAAUAUUGGACAAUGGAUGGAAAUCUGAUCCAGCCAUGCCGCGUGCAGGAAGACGGCCUUAUGGGUUGUAAACUGCUUUUAUACGGGAGCAAUAAGGGUUACGAGUAAUCCGAUGAGAGUACUGUAUGAAUAAGGAUCGGCUAACUCCGUGCCAGCAGCCGCGGUAAUACGGAGGAUCCGAGCGUUAUCCGGAAUUAUUGGGUUUAAAGGGUGCGUAGGCGGCCAUUUAAGUCAGCGGUGAAAUUUUGCAGCUUAACUGUAACAGUGCCGUUGAUACUGUUUGGCUAGGAUUUGGUUGUAGUGUGCGGAAUGUGUGGUGUAGCGGUGAAAUGCUUAGAUAUCACACAGAACACCGAUUGCGAAGGCAGCACACUAAGUCAUUAUUGACGCUGAGGCACGAAAGUGUGGGGAUCAAACAGGAUUAGAUACCCUGGUAGUCCACACUGUAAACGAUAUAACUCGCUGUCGGCGAUACACAGUC
This 836-nucleotide ribosomal RNA is filed under the name uncultured bacterium. RNAcentral describes it as "bacterial SSU rRNA". It matches the Rfam family "Bacterial small subunit ribosomal RNA", at positions 1 to 838 of the family's 1533-position model. The record is from RNAcentral.